Non-coding RNA from Ixodes scapularis (black-legged tick), 74 nucleotides. The record is from Rfam. NCBI's taxonomy places the organism in Eukaryota, Metazoa, Arthropoda, Arachnida, Ixodida, Ixodidae.
GGCCUGCUAGCUCAGUCGGUUAGAGCGUCGUGCUAAUAACGCGAAGGUCGUAGGUUCGAUCCCUGCGCAGGCCA